This 301-nucleotide ribosomal RNA is filed under the name uncultured bacterium. Its description in RNAcentral is "partial 16S ribosomal RNA". It matches the Rfam family "Bacterial small subunit ribosomal RNA", at positions 509 to 807 of the family's 1533-position model. The record is from RNAcentral.
CAGUAGCCGCGGAAAUACGUAGGGUGCAAGCGUUAAUCGGAAUUACUGGGCGUAAAGCAUGCGCAGGCGGUUAUGUAAGACAGUUGUGAAAUCCCCGGGCUCAACCUGGGAACUGCAUCUGUGACUGCAUAGCUAGAGUACGGUAGAGGGGGAUGGAAUUCCGCGUGUAGCAGUGAAAUGCGUAGAUAUGCGGAGGAACACCGAUGGCGAAGGCAAUCCCCUGGACCUGUACCGACGCUCAUGCACGAAAGCGUGGGGAGCAAACAGGAUUAGAUACCCCAGUAGUCCCUGUCUCUUAUAC